GAGUUUGAUCUUGGCUCAGAUUGAACGCUGGCGGCAGGCCUAACACAUGCAAGUCGGGCGGUAGAGAGAAGCUUGCUUCUCUUGAGAGCGGCGGACGGGUGAGUAAUGCCUAGGAAUCUGCCUGGUAGUGGGGGAUAACGCUCGGAAACGGACGCUAAUACCGCAUACGUCCUACGGGAGAAAGCAGGGGACCUUCGGGCCUUGCGCUAUCAGAUGAGCCUAGGUCGGAUUAGCUAGUUGGUGAGGUAAUGGCUCACCAAGGCGACGAUCCGUAACUGGUCUGAGAGGAUGAUCAGUCACACUGGAACUGAGACACGGUCCAGACUCCUACGGGAGGCAGCAGUGGGGAAUAUUGGACAAUGGGCGAAAGCCUGAUCCAGCCAUGCCGCGUGUGUGAAGAAGGUCUUCGGAUUGUAAAGCACUUUAAGUUGGGAGGAAGGGCAGUAAAUUAAUACUUUGCUGUUUUGACGUUACCGACAGAAUAAGCACCGGCUAACUCUGUGCCAGCCGCCGACCCG
This 518-nucleotide ribosomal RNA is filed under the name uncultured bacterium. RNAcentral describes it as "bacterial SSU rRNA". It matches the Rfam family "Bacterial small subunit ribosomal RNA", at positions 9 to 520 of the family's 1533-position model. The record is from RNAcentral.